Long non-coding RNA from Colletes gigas, 356 nucleotides. RefSeq lists it as uncharacterized. Lineage: Eukaryota; Metazoa; Arthropoda; Insecta; Hymenoptera; Colletidae. The transcript is spliced from 3 exons. The record is from RefSeq and is a predicted model, not a curated record.
CCCAGCGAAUGUUUCCCACGUACUCCACGCCCUCGCUGAUCUGGAGCGCUCGUCGUCUGGAAAAAAAAAAGAAACAAGUUUCCCAGAAUUUUCGUAUUUAAGAGGAUCAGGCUGUUUCUCGCCUUUCCGUUAAACCUGAUCGAACUUACUCCCAAAAUUCUUUAACCGGGUCGGGGUUCACGCAGUUCUUCGUGUUCCAGGCGUUAUUGCAGCUUCCCCAAGUUACAGUAAAACGAACCGCUACGCAUAGACAUGAAGAAGUAGAAGAUAGCCCAGGCAAGGAUCACGAUAUAGUAGACGUUCAUCCAACAGGACAUGACAGCUGCAGCGUAUCCAAUACCCUUAAAAAGCGGCGC